UCAUAACAAACUGGGCAUAAA
This 21-nucleotide non-coding RNA is filed under the name Caenorhabditis elegans. Lineage: Eukaryota; Metazoa; Nematoda; Chromadorea; Rhabditida; Rhabditidae. The record is from RNAcentral.